CGCCUACGGGAGGCAGCAGUGGGGAAUUUUGGACAAUGGGCGCAAGCCUGAUCCAGCCAUGCCGCGUGCAGGAUGAAGGCCUUCGGGUUGUAAACUGCUUUUGUACGGAACGAAAAGACUCCUUCUAAUAAAGGGGGUUCAUGACGGUACCGUAAGAAUAAGCACCGGCUAACUACGUGCCAGCAGCCGCGGUAAUACGUAGGGUGCGAGCGUUAAUCGGAAUUACUGGGCGUAAAGCGUGCGCAGGCGGUGAUGUAAGACAGAGGUGAAAUCCCCGGGCUCAACCUGGGAACUGCAUUUGUGACUGCAUCGCUGGAGUGCGGCAGAGGGGGAUGGAAUUCCGCGUGUAGCAGUGAAAUGCGUAGAUAUGCGGAGGAACACCGAUGGCGAAGGCAAUCCCCUGGGCCUGCACUGACGCUCAUGCACGAAAGCGUGGGGAGCAAACAGGAUUAGAUACCCUAGUAGUCCC
RNAcentral lists this ribosomal RNA (469 nucleotides) under uncultured Comamonadaceae bacterium. RNAcentral describes it as "bacterial SSU rRNA". It matches the Rfam family "Bacterial small subunit ribosomal RNA", at positions 336 to 797 of the family's 1533-position model. The record is from RNAcentral. Lineage: Bacteria; Pseudomonadati; Pseudomonadota; Betaproteobacteria; Burkholderiales; Comamonadaceae.